UACAGAGGUCUCAAGCGUUGUUCGGAUUCAUUGGGCGUACAGGGUGCGUAGGUGGCGCUGUAAGUCGGGUGUGAAAUUUCGGAGCUUAACUCCGUAACUGCAUUCGAUACUGCGGUGCUUGAGGACUGGAGAGGAGACUGGAAUUCAUGGUGUAGCAGUGAAAUGCGUAGAGAUCAUGAGGAAGACCAGUGGCGAAGGCGGGUCUCUGGACAGUUCCUGACACUGAGGCACGAAGGCCAGGGGAGCAAACGGG
This 253-nucleotide ribosomal RNA is filed under the name uncultured bacterium. Its description in RNAcentral is "partial 16S ribosomal RNA". It matches the Rfam family "Bacterial small subunit ribosomal RNA", at positions 524 to 776 of the family's 1533-position model. The record is from RNAcentral.